Molecule: long non-coding RNA, 1475 nt
Organism: Syngnathus typhle (broad-nosed pipefish)
Lineage: Eukaryota; Metazoa; Chordata; Actinopteri; Syngnathiformes; Syngnathidae
Exons: 3
Source: RefSeq, a predicted model, not a curated record
GAAGCAGAAGGGAGAGAGCGAGUGUUCCCACCGUAAGGCGAUCCAGCACAUACAGUAUGGAGAUUGUGUCGGUCGGGGUGGUGGUCUGUGGACAGCAAAAGGGGUGUCAACAUUUAAUCCAUCUGUGAUUUCCUGCAGAAGAAGAGCAAUGCCAUUGCAUCACUGACUCAAACUCAAAGAUUUGAAGCUCAACCAGGAAAGCAAGUGAAGCUGCUGUGAAAUUAAAAUCACCAGUAAUGCACAUUACUGCCACCUACAGGACUGGAGUGGAGUUGUAUUUUCCAGCGCUUCUUCAAAGGAGUCAUGUUACGGAUUGCUCAGCCUUGGAUAUUCCCCCCCCCCCCCCCCCCAUUGGCAUAAAGAAUCACAUUUUCAUAGCCCAAUAGGCUUCAGCAUUCAUCACUGGGAGGUCAAGCAGAUAGACAGGUGAGAGGUCGUGACUCGUGUAGAAAAGGUUGGAGAUGAAAGAGUUAAAUGUCAAGGCGUAUGUAUCCUGUCUGACUUUGAUCUCUGCCUCAGGUAGCUCCUUCCUGCCCAUCAAUCUUGGGCCCCGAGCUGACGGGAGGCUGCGGCUUUCUCAAAACGGGCUUGCUCAGACUCAAACCGUCGCCUCGCCGAGAGGGCUGGCGUGAUGUGCCAUUCAUUGGCGUCAUGUUUUCAGUGUGACGCUUCGAGAGAAAACGGUGACGUCAAAACAAAAAACGAAAUCCCCGGCCCAUCUUGUCCUCGCUCAUCUCGCCCUCCAGUGACAAACUCUUUAAUAUGACAAGGUUAAACACCUUGAAGCUGCAGCUAAAGGCGCACGUCCAGGUCAGGGGUCAAAAGAGCAAUUUAAAUAGCAGGCAGCUUGUUUAUGUUGUUGUGUCAUCUUGUUUACGUUAUUGCGUCAUCUUGUUUCAUUCAAUGCAAAGCACAUUCGACUAAAUUGGUGAGUACUGCUUUGAAAUGUCUUCCUUGCAAAUAUCUUAGAAGAAGAAAAAAAAAAAAACGCGUUCAAGACACAUAAGCCAUCGUGUAAUAUCAGCUCGCCGUGUUUCUCUAUGAAAGUUAUUUGAUCGGACGUGAAGUUGAAUCUGGCUUUGUGUCACAUUGUACGUUACAACGGAACUUAACACUUGACAGAAACGAGCCUUGUUGUCAGCGGCUGAACUUGAUCCCCCCCCUCAACUUGUUCCCAUCCAAGAGGGAAAGACAGAGAGGUGACUUCGGCAAGAUUGAGCGUAUUUAUUAGUAUUAUAUAUUUUACAAAAGAUAUUUCCUCACCCCUGCUCGGCAUGAAGUCAAAACAUUGAGUGAUUUUUCAUUUGUGCGAUCCCUCUACUUGUUUUGACAUUUCCCAACCUCCCGUUUAAAGUGGACCGUUGUUGUUCCUCACAACCGUCACUUGUCCAGAAGGCCAGACAGACGCCCCCUUCCUCCUCCACUUGUCAUCCUCGUCACCUCUGGCAUUUCAAACUGACGCUGGCUUUCGGACC